Panthera uncia (snow leopard) is the source of this 403-nucleotide long non-coding RNA. RefSeq lists it as uncharacterized. The transcript is spliced from 3 exons. The record is from RefSeq and is a predicted model, not a curated record. NCBI's taxonomy places the organism in Eukaryota, Metazoa, Chordata, Mammalia, Carnivora, Felidae.
CCUAAGUUGGUAGUAUAGAUCCAGAAGUCUUUGGAAAAAUUUGCACUUUGUAAUUAUAGCUCUUGGAGAGAAUGAGAUCCCUCCAGGUACUUAGUCUCUUGAGAAUUACAUCAAACAAGCCAAUUCCUAGACAAGAAUUUUCUCAGCAUAUAUUUAGAGGUGAACAAUAAAUAUAUUUGCUAUUGAAAGUAUAAAGAACUUCACGAGAAAUGGAGUAAGGAAAAACUGAGAUGGAAAUAUAAGGAAUCCACACCCAGCAUGGAGCCCAACAUGGGGCAUGAACUCAUGACCUGGAGAUCAAGACCUAAGCUAAGAUCAAGAUUCCAGAGCUUAACCAACUGAACCACUCAGGUGCCCCUAAAUUUAUAAUCUUAAUAAAUAUUAAAGACUUUUUUCUUUUCAA